This 509-nucleotide ribosomal RNA is filed under the name uncultured bacterium. RNAcentral's name for it is "bacterial SSU rRNA". It matches the Rfam family "Bacterial small subunit ribosomal RNA", at positions 17 to 518 of the family's 1533-position model. The record is from RNAcentral.
UUAUGGCUCAGAUUGAACGCUGGCGGCAGGCUUAACACAUGCAAGUCGAGCGGGGAAAGGUAGCUUGCUACCUGACCUAGCGGCGGACGGGUGAGUAAUGCUUAGGAAUCUGCCUAUUAGUGGGGGGACAACAUCUCGAAAGGGAUGCUAAUACCGCAUACGUCCUACGGGAGAAAGCAGGGGACCUUCGGGCCUUGCGCUAAUAGAUGAGCCUAAGUCGGAUUAGCUAGUUGGUGGGGUAAAGGCCUACCAAGGCGACGAUCUGUAGCGGGUCUGAGAGGAUGAUCCGCCACACUGGGACUGAGACACGGCCCAGACUCCUACGGGAGGCAGCAGUGGGGAAUAUUGGACAAUGGGGGGAACCCUGAUCCAGCCAUGCCGCGUGUGUGAAGAAAGGCCUUUUGGUUGUAAAGCACUUUAAGCGAGGAGGAGGCUACCGAGAUUAAUACUCUUGGAUAGUGGACGUUACUCGCAGAAUAAGCACCGGCUAACUCUGUGCCAGCCGCAGC